AAGUCGUAACAAGGUCUCCGUUGGUGAACCUGCGGAAGGAUCAUUACCAAUCCAAAACUAAAAACCACUGUGAACUGGCUGAAGUACUUGGGCAAGUCUACAGAGGAUGCUUUUCCUUGUAAGGGUGUUGUGCUUGUCACAAUACUCUGAAGGUUAGCACUCCUUUACCCUUGCCCAACAGUAUUAACUACAAUUGAACUUGUUAUGUUAACUGCUGAUUAGUUGCUCUUGCAACUUUUCUGCUACGAAUGAAAACCAAAAGAUUACAACUUUUAGCGGUGGAUCUCUUGGCUCAU
Molecule: unclassified non-coding RNA, 296 nt
Filed under: fungal sp.
Lineage: Eukaryota; Fungi
Description: partial internal transcribed spacer region
Rfam family: Eukaryotic small subunit ribosomal RNA (bases 1-46)
Source: RNAcentral